This is a long non-coding RNA of Dreissena polymorpha, 893 nucleotides long. RefSeq lists it as uncharacterized. The transcript has 3 exons. The record is from RefSeq and is a predicted model, not a curated record. Lineage: Eukaryota; Metazoa; Mollusca; Bivalvia; Myida; Dreissenidae.
UAGUGUUUCGGGUAGAAUUUCCGCUUCGGUCUGAUGUUGUUCCGGCUGGCUAGGGGGCUGCGUUGACGAAAAUGUGGCCGUGCUGGUGACAGAGUGUUUCCUUCCUUGAAUUGGAUCUGCAUUUUGACCAUGGGAGGCAAGUAUCAAAUUGAUUAUACCUAAGGCUGUAUUGUUCCUUUGUGCCACGCAAACCAAAAUGCAAGCAGUUGUUUAGCCACAUGGUGUGGACAAGAGCUUUUGGACUGUUAGGACCUAGGACACCCUUCUGCCACAUUAUAUCUAUUUCAUGGUCGCUUCCGGUCCAGGCUACUGAUGAUGGCCCGGAUACUUGUCGGCUCAAACUCUGUGCCAUCUUCGCGUUGCAGGGAUAGAAUGAACGUUGCAAUAUGCUCGUCAAGGAAAUCGACAUCCAACUGAUGCAUUUCUCUGGUCUCACCCUUUGUCAGUAGAAACCUCUGGAACUUUUUUGUGUCAUUUAAUGUUUUUUUUGCUGUGUUUUUGUUUUCUUCUUUUGUGAUGUACUGUCGGACUUCAGAAAGCUCUAUGUUUUUAAAUUCAUUUGGAAUUGACUGGUUGAGAUGUUUAGCUUCAUUUUGAAUUGUAACAUUUGUGUUAUUUUGAUCAUCACAAUUUGACUCAGGGGCAUUAUUCUCAGUUAAAUCCUCAUCAAAUUGAAGUGCAUUUAUUCCAUAUUUUUGCUCAAAUUCUUCCAAACUUAAUUCCACAGCAUUUGAAAACAAACCAUCCCAUACUACAUCAAAAUCACCUGUUUCUUGGUUGAACAUUGUUGUCAAAAUUUAUUUCAUUUGAUGAAAUAUGUUUUGCUGCAGUUUUAUUUUAAUUCUUGAUUGUGUAUUAUUUAUUUUUUUCAUUAUUUCAACCACAAUUGACAU